GUAAUAUGUUAAUUUGCAGCCCCAUGAAACACAACUCUGUUGAGGUUUAGUCACAUUGUGACUGCUGUCUCUCUGCCCAAAGGAAUAAUUACGUUUUGGUUCGAAUUACAGGGUUCGAAAUUAUUAGUGCCAUCAUGCCAAAGGCACACCUAAAUUCUAAUUCCUAACCUGCGUGCCCCUUUGGCACACUUAAUUUAUUGAUGAAAGUGACUGACGAGUAUUUCUGUUGAUAAUCAUGACUUGUAUGUAAAAAUAAUUUUUAUAAAUAUGUGCAAAAACAAACCUGAAUUUCCUUCCUGGAAAACAAUGAUCAACACGACUGAAGUCUUUCAAAACUGAGUCCCCAGACACAGCAGUUGUAAUCACGUCAAAAUAGACUUUAUGAACCUACCUGUGAUAUCAUUCAUUCAUUACAUCUGUCAUGUUACACAAUGUCUGAAAUACGUAUUUGAUUUUAAUUCAUUAUUUUUUAUCGAUAGAUUAAAAGAUUAUUCACUAGAUCUUUUUCCUGCAAUGUUAUUGAAAAUAAAAUUCUCUGACACACUCCUCGACAAUGGGUCCACAUCGAACAAUUCAAAGAGCAAAAUAAAAACGUGUCAAUCAAAUCUUUAAGUAUAUCAUACAAAGAAAGAAAUAAAAUCAACAAAAAUAUAUCUAAAAGUUGUCAAACUUACACCUGAGUUAUUAUUUCCAUCUUUUCGUGCGAUCGCAUGUAAUGCAAGUUAAAUGACAUCUUGGCUUUUGCCGCCUCAAUUUCUCCGCACAGACUCACGAUAUGGCUGAAAUAUUGCCGAUGUGACGUUAAAUAUUAACUCACUCACUCACUCUCCGCACAGACAAUGUUUAAUGCCAAAAAAUAUGCAUGAAAAAUCUGUCACAACUCGUAACCUAGCACAAUACAUCCAUGAAGUUUCAUAUUAUAUAGUUCCUAAUUUCCUGCUUAAAACGUUCAGAAUAACAGGAUUUAACAAAAACCUUUCGUUAAAAUCUGAAAUUCACGGUACCAUUGAUGUAAUUUGAUUGGCUGCCUUAGGUCACGUGCUCAAAUUUGACCAAUCACGAAUCUUGUAGCAGAUUUCGGCAGGAAAGCGUCUUUAGAAACCAAUCAAAUCGCAUGUUACAGUAAUAUAAAGACUCUAGGCGUAUUUACUGUCGCAUUGAUGACAAAAUAAGCUUUGUAGAUAAUGGUGUGUCACGUGGCACAUGUUAUUAAUGUGAAGCUUUGAAAACAGAGAUAUUUCUUCAUGCCACUGAGUGGACAGAUGCUGUUAUCAGGAAAAUGAUGAUGAAAGAUAUUAUUUUCCGUUCUAAUCCAACAAUAAGUUUGUGUGUUGUAUUGCAAUGAUUGGUAUGUGUCUGUGUACUGCCUCCCCUGCUCUAAUUUUUUAUAAAUAAUUUUCCGAUUACUUAAACAAGAAGAAAAAAGUUAAAACAAAUAGGUGAGUGGAUUUAAUGAAAUCUCAUAUUUGCCGAAAAUCGUCAAGUUUUCGCUUCCUUGGUCCUCAACCUGGACGUUAUGAAUGUGGUUGUAUUAGUCUUAUUUACAACACACAUAAUUUAGUUGUAAAUGCAUUAUUUAAAUAAACGGUAGGUUUAGACCGUUCAAAUGGUGUAUAACGUGUAGUAGCAAAGAUCAGAUGUUUUACAAGCAGAUAGGCUGAAAUCCCAGACACUGUCAAAGUUGAUAAAUGUGACUCAGUGCAUACAGAGGGGAAGAGGGACCACACCCUAUGGACACAGAACAGCUACAACUGUAACUGAUCAGUGCUUAUGUGGCUACUACCAGUUGUGAACAGUAGCUCUUAAAUCUUGAGACUAUUAUAAUCGGUAUUGCAGUUUUUAACUAAGAUUCAAAGGCAAUGAGUAACUAAAAAUGAGUAACUUGAAUUAUGAUGAACUAUUAAAACAGUUUAGAAUAGAAGCCAAUGAUGUGUUUCUUAGCACACCUAAUAAUGUGAUGGCACACUUAAUUUGGCAUAACUGUGCCCAUUGGCACACUUGAAAUAAAUUUAAUUUUGAUCCCUGAAUUAUUUAUUUUCACAUUUGACUUCAAACCUGAUAUGCCUUUUAUAUGUCCCUGGGAAAUUUUCUGACAUUUCAUUGGAUAUUAAACAUCAAGGUCACGGAGUGUAAUCCAGGCCUCAAAAUGCUUGUGUGUACAAUAUGGUGAGAGGUAUAAACUUUAUUCAUGAUUACCUGUUGGAAAGAGCUUUAAAAGCAUGGCUCUGACCUAAUUUCUACCCUCGUGUACCACCACUUGCCCAGGUGAACGGUGCUCUCAAUAUGAAACUAGUUAUGUGGGUCACCAUUGGAGUAUGCUAAGUUCCAUUUUGUUCAAUGCAAGGGACACCCGCAGGAUACAUAGCCUAUACAUAGCAUAUGCCAUUCCAAAGAAACCUGAAUGGUGACGAAGAGGUUUUUUGAGGCUAUCAUUCGUGUGAAUAACGAUGGUAACAGGUGGCAAUUGUUUGUCUGUUAACGCCACACUCGGCAAUAUUCCAGCUAUGUGACGGCAGUUUCUAAAUAAUCGAGUCUGGACCAGACAAUUCAGUGAUUUACAUCAUGAGCAUCGAUCCAUGCAACUGGGACCGAUGACAUGCAUCACCCAAGUCAGCAAGCCUGACCAUCCGAUCCCGUUAGUCGCCUCUUAUGACAAGCAUGGGUUGCUGAAGACGGGUCACAGUGGCAAGUGUGCAGUAGGCAUUUCGUCAAGGGGCACACAAGUGGAAAUCCGGAUAGUUCUAACUACCUAACAAUGGUAAACAACCCGCUACAUUUUAGAACCAAGAACCGACAAGAUCAGUGAGCAAGUUUUGUAAAAGUUCCAGCAUGGUACAUCACCUUGACCUCUCAGUCAGCGGAUAGAUCAAUGACCUUCAUCAAGUGGACCUGGGUUAAAAAGCAACUUGAUCAUCAAAAGAAGAAACUUCACUUAAAUUGAAUUUGAUGUCUCAAUUGUCAAAUUUGCUUUUUGCCCAGUCAUUGGAUUAAAAGUGGGUAAAUUCACGGACUGCUUCCAGUUAUCCUGUACUUGAUAGAGUACACUACCUGCUCCUUGUUAUCAGUUCUUGAUGUGUACUACUGGAGCAGCAAGCAGUCAUCAUGAGGAGAAUGUUCUUAUGAUCACUACAACUUUGUAUGUUGCAUUUUAUGCAUCUACUGUAUUUAUACAAAAUAUGUAUCAGAAUUUCAUAGUCUUCAUCUCUCAUUGCCUUUAAUAAAAUAAAACCACUAAUUACAGAUGUGGACACCAUAACUAUAAGAAAAUGUUUUACGUUUUUCUGUAAGUCGAUGUUAUUACCAAUAUAGAUCAGCUUCCAAACAGCAAUUAUCUGAAGUCUGGAUAGAAAGGUUAGCAGAGAACCAAGUUAUGAUGAUCUCAAUUUCCACACUUCCCUCAGCACAGAUCUGGAAAAACUAUAUAACUUUUUAGAAGAUUUGUAAUCAUCUCUUACUUUCUAAUUUAUCAGGUUACUGUUUUAAGAUUAAGCUUUUUAUAGAGCAAGAAAUAUUUAUCACCUGUUGAUAUUUGGAAUAUUUUCAAUGUAAAAAAAAACUUAAAUGUGUAUAAAACUAACAAAUCUGUUCAUGUCAGUAUCAUGAUUUCCAAUGAAAAUUAAUCAUUUUACUUUUAAGAUGAUUGUCACAAGAAAUGAAUGUUAAAGUAUUUAUGACAUGAUAUCGUAUAGCUUUUUUGUGUCAUGAUGAGGUUCGCAUUGAAACACAAGCCAAUAGUUUCAGUAAUUAUAAUAUUUUCAAAGGGAACGUUUGGUAAAUAUUCACUCAUAGCUGCUGAAUGGACUAGAACAGUUUUCCCCAUGAAAAGUUUAAUUUCUCAGCAGUUGAGUGGACCAAAUCAUUCUGAACAUCCGAAAAUGCUCGCUUAAGUGGUUUCGUUUUGGAAGACUUCUCGGCUAAAGCACAUUUUUAUGACAUUAUUAUGAUUUCUUUUCUUCUCAGUUGUAAGUAUUCCGUGAAGAUCUUGGGUUUAUAAUGGGUCUCAAGCAACCCAUGCUUGCCAUAAAAGGCGAGCAUCUGCCUGAGGCAAAGGUGUUAAGUGACUUUAAAAGUCCAAUUUCCAGUCCUGAUCGUAGCGCCACCAGUGGCUAUUAUGAGUUGAAAACUUCUAUGUUCCUCCGAUAGAUCAGAUUCCAUCUCUCAUGUCUCUUACAUUUGCUUCCAACAAAAUUUGCGGCGCUCAGUCGAGACGAUCUGCUUGAUAAUCAAGAUCUCUGGUCUUACCCUGUGAAGAGCAUCAACUCACAUGAGCAUGUUGAUUAAAAACAUGAAAGAAUUUGCUGAACAUCUGUCGACUCCCAGUUGGCGGUACACAUGCUCUGCAAAUCCUGCAGUCGGCCGAAAUCUGCACGUUGAAAUCCAUGUUGUUUACGAACCAGAUGUCUUGUUUGUUACACGAUUUGGAUUAGACUAUGCAUAGACUCGUUAGUCCAGUCAAAUAUAACUCCAUAAUUGCAGCCUAUUUUGGCAAGGGUGGAAACUGGACUUUUAUGGUCAUUUUAGACAACAAACUAACCAAAGACAUUAACAAAACAUGACAAGGUUUAUCAAUCAUAACCUUAAAUGGUAUCUUUAUUUUGAAAUGCUUAGGAAAAUUUUCCCCCUGAUUCCAUGGAGACAAAUUGGACUUAAUCUGAAAUGGCCUUGGUGUUUUUGUGAGAACAGAAUUUGAAAGCCUUUAAAUAUCUUUAUCGAGACAUUGAAAAUGUGUUUCAAAUAAAAUAAAAUAAAAUAAAAUAAAAUCUAAUCGGGUUGUGUGAUUAUUUUUUUCCUUCAAAUUGACAGUUGCUGUCAUGAAGUAUUAUCUCAGGACAAACAUCUGAAAAUGGUUCCUAUUGCUAUUUUUUUAGACUGAGUUUCAAGGAAAAUAAAGAUUCUGUGAUCAAGUUGUGUCAUUUCUUUUUUCAUGUCAACGUAUCUAUUACUGUAGGAUAAACAUUGAGUGAGAAAUGCUGCCUACAUAUAUCUACUACUUUUGACAUUACAGCUUGUUGCAAAUUUCAAAUAAGCUGUUCUAACACCAAUGCGACAUGCCAUAAAAUUUGUGUAUAAGCCCAUCUCUCACCGUAUGGUCACUCCAAUAUCUAAAGAAUACUAACAUUUGAAUUCCUGCCAUUUGUAAAUUAGCCCAUCCUUUAGGUUUUGUGUUCGAUGUUUGGAUGGCCAAUUGGGCUUUUAUUUAAGUAAUGGGGACCAGGGGUGAUAUGUCAUCUUCUAAUGACUCUUGUUAAAUUUCUUUUGUUUCCAUGGAAACCAUUUGGAAAUUCUUAAGAGUAUUUCUGCUAUGCAUAAAGCUACUGAUUUUUCAUUAUGGGUACAUCUACUUUCACAAUACAAAUUAAAUCUGUCAUCCAAACUGCUGUAACCCUUUCAAUUGUCUUAAAUCUACCAUAAAGUGUCAACAUGGUGUCAACUUUAAUGCUGCUUUAUAAAUGCUUUAAUCAUGAUCUGUACUAGUAUUUGUGGGCUGAUAAUCCUUUUUUUUGUAUAUGCAAAUACAUUUGUAGUAACUACUUGAACUAAUGUAUAUAAAAAAUAAACAGGAGGGGGAAACAUUCUAGUUUUAAACCUAUUUAACAGCCUUUUUUAUUGUAACCAUAUUACAUUUGCCUCUGAAAUGAAGGUAAUUUCGAACCUUUGUUGAUUAUUUAUGAUUAGGAUUGGAUGGACAUAGAUUUACUUGAUAUUUUUGCAUUUUGUCUGGAUUGAAUUGUGUGAAUAAACAAAGCUGAAAUAGUGCUUGUAUUCAUGUAAAACAAACAAACCAAAACUUAUGUGAAUGUGUAUUGAAAGGCCUUACUAAUCUUAAAAAUAAUACAGACAUCGUUAUUAAAGAAGCCGAUAAGGGAGGUGAUAUUGUUAUUAUGAAUAAAAAAAAUUAUCAAAGAAAGAUAAUUGUCCAUUUUUAAAUGAUCAAUAUUAUAGCAAUUCUAGUAAAAGAGUAGAAAAAUCUGUCCAGAAUAAGGUUAAGAAAUUGUUAGAUUAGUAUCAUAACGAAAUUCUAGACAAAGAAAAGGACGAUCUUACCGAUUUGAACCUUUUUCUAAGACCACUAAUUUUUAUGGCCUGCCCAAAGUACAUAAAAGUAAAUGUAUUCAAAAGGAAAUUAAUGAUCAAAAUUGUGAAGUUAUUUCUAUUGAAAGUUGAAAAGAGAUGACGAGAUGAUGAGUUUAUCAUUGAUGCAUUGAAGUUGGUUAUUACCAAUAACAUUUUUUAUUUUGAUGGAUCUUAUUAUUCACAAAAAAAGUUGUAAGCCAUGGCCACUCAGGUAGCCCCUACUUAUGCAACUCUUGUUUGGGGAUUUUUAGAGAUGUUUUAUGAUAAGGUGAGAGAUACAACUGUUUUAUCAUAUUAAAAACCAGUGAAAGUCAACUUGCAGCUAUUCAUAAUUCUAAAUUCGCUUAAUGUGUCGCUCAAUUUCGCAAUGGAAAAAGGCGAAUCUAGUUUUAACCUUUCUCGAUAUAAUAAUCAAUUUAAUAUCUGGGAGAUUUGUACGAACUGGUAUCUUUUAUAAAGAUACUGAUACGCACCAAUAUUUGUAUUUGUACCAUUGUUUCCGGGAAUGAUGUUAAAACUACCCGCCUUGCUGAACUUAACAGCCAAAGUUCUAAAUUUGAUUCUGUUGUCAUCACUCCACAAGUGCGGUGACAAACGUUGCCUUACUUGCAGCGCUCUAAUAAGGCUGUUCAGUCCAGAUUACAAAGGACUAUAAAUUUA
Haliotis rufescens (red abalone) is the source of this 6735-nucleotide long non-coding RNA. RefSeq lists it as uncharacterized. NCBI's taxonomy places the organism in Eukaryota, Metazoa, Mollusca, Gastropoda, Lepetellida, Haliotidae. The transcript has 2 exons. The record is from RefSeq and is a predicted model, not a curated record.